GUUGGGUAGGGGAGCGUUCUGUAAGCCUGCGAAGGUGUACUGUGAGGUAUGCUGGAGGUAUCAGAAGUGCGAAUGCUGACAUAAGUAACGAUAAUGCGGGUGAAAAACCCGCACGCCGGAAGACCAAGGGUUCCUGUCCAACGUUAAUCGGGGCAGGGUGAGUCGACCCCUAAGGCGAGGCUGAAAAGCGUAGUCGAUGGGAAACGGGUUAAUAUUCCCGUACUGGUGGUAACUGCGAUGGGGGAACGGAGAAGGCUAGGUUGUCCGGGCGACGGUCGUCCCGGUUCAAGCAUGUAGGCAGAGUGAUUAGGCAAAUCCGGUCACUUAAUGCUGAGGUGUGAUGACGAGCCACUAAGGUGGUGAAGCAAUUGAUGCCCUGCUUCCAGGAAAAGCCUCUAAGCUUCAGGUUACCAACAAUCGUACCCCAAACCGACACAGGUGGUCAGGUAGAGAAUACUCAGGCGCUUGAGAGAACUCGGGUGAAGGAACUAGGCAAAAUGGUGCCGUAACUUCGGGAGAAGGCACGCUGGCGGUAAGUGAAGUCCCUUGCGGACGGAGCCGAAGCCAGUCGAAGAUACCAGCUGGCUGCAACUGUUUAUUAAAAACACAGCACUGUGCAAACACGAAAGUGGACGUAUACGGUGUGACGCCUGCCCGGUGCUGGAAGGUUAAUUGAUGGGGUUAUCCUUAGGGAGAAGCUCUUGAUCGAAGCCCCAGUAAACGGCGGCCGUAACUAUAACGGUCCUAAGGUAGCGAAAUUCCUUGUCGGGUAAGUUCCGACCUGCACGAAUGGCGUAAUGAUGGCCAGGCUGUCUCCACCCGAGACUCAGUGAAAUUGAACUCGCUGUGAAGAUGCAGUGUACCCGCGGCAAGACGGAAAGACCCCGUGAACCUUUACUAUAGCUUGACACUGAACAUUGAGCCUUGAUGUGUAGGAUAGGUGGGAGACUAUGAAGUGUGGACGCCAGUCUGCAUGGAGUCAACCUUGAAAUACCACCCUUUAACGUUUGAUGUUCUAACCUAGGCCCAUAAUCUGGGUCGGGGACCGUGUCUGGUGGGUAGUUUGACUGGGGCGGUCUCCUCCUAAAGAGUAACGGAGGAGCACGAAGGUUGGCUAAGCAUGGUCGGACAUCAUGCGGUUAGUGCAAAGGCAUAAGCCAGCUUGACUGUGAGAGUGACGGCUCGAGCAGGUACGAAAGUAGGUCUUAGUGAUCCGGUGGUUCUGAAUGGAAGGGCCAUCGCUCAACGGAUAAAAGGUACUCCGGGGAUAACAGGCUGAUACCGCCCAAGAGUUCAUAUCGACGGCGGUGUUUGGCACCUCGAUGUCGGCUCAUCACAUCCUGGGGCUGAAGUAGGUCCCAAGGGUAUGGCUGUUCGCCAUUUAAAGUGGUACGCGAGCUGGGUUUAGAACGUCGUGAGACAGUUCGGUCCCUAUCUGCCGUGGGCGUUGGAAGAUUGAGAGGGGUUGCUCCUAGUACGAGAGGACCGGAGUGAACGCACCACUGGUGUUCGGGUUGUCAUGCCAAUGGCAUUGCCCGGUAGCUAAGUGCGGAAGAGAUAACCGCUGAAAGCAUCUAAGCGGGAAACUUGCCUCGAGAUGAGUCUUCCCUGUCACCUAGAGUGACCUAAAGGAACGUUUAAGACUAAGACGUUGAUAGGCUGGGUGUGUAAGCGUAGCGAUACGUUGAGCUAACCAGUACUAAUGAACCGUGAGGCUUAACCUG
This 1724-nucleotide ribosomal RNA is filed under the name Proteus terrae subsp. cibarius. RNAcentral describes it as "partial 23S ribosomal RNA". It matches the Rfam family "Bacterial large subunit ribosomal RNA", at positions 1223 to 2925 of the family's 2925-position model. The record is from RNAcentral. Lineage: Bacteria; Pseudomonadati; Pseudomonadota; Gammaproteobacteria; Enterobacterales; Morganellaceae.